AGCAGCCGCGGUAAUUCCAGCUCCAAUAGCGUAUAUUAAAGUUGUUGCAGUUAAAAAGCUCGUAGUUGAAUUUCGGGGUUAGUAGGUUGGUCAUGCCUCUGGUAUGUACUGGUCUCACUGAUUCCUCCUUCCUGAUGAGCCGUAAUGCCAUUAAUUUGGUGUUGCGGGGAAUUUGGACUGUUACUUUGAAAAAAUUAGAGUGUUUAAAGCAAGCUAACGCUUGAAUACAUUAGCAUGGAAUAAUGAAAUAGGACGUUCGAUCCUAUUUUGUUGGUUUCUAGGAUUGACGUAAUGAUUAAUAGGGAUAGUUGGGGGCAUUAGUAUUCAAUUGUCAGAGGUGAAAUUCUUGGAUUUAUUGAAGACUAACUACUGCGAAAGCAUUUGCCAAGGAUGUUUUCAUUAAUCAAGAACGAAAGUUAGGGGAUCGAAGACGAUCAGAUACCGUCGUAGUCUUAACCAUAAACUAUGUCGACUAGGGAUCGGAUGAUGUUAAUUUUUAAUGACUCAUUCGGCGCCUUAA
RNAcentral lists this ribosomal RNA (520 nucleotides) under uncultured Glomus. Its description in RNAcentral is "SSU rRNA". It matches the Rfam family "Eukaryotic small subunit ribosomal RNA", at positions 569 to 1091 of the family's 1831-position model. Lineage: Eukaryota; Fungi; Glomeromycota; Glomeromycetes; Glomerales; Glomeraceae. The record is from RNAcentral.